This 465-nucleotide ribosomal RNA is filed under the name uncultured bacterium. Its description in RNAcentral is "partial 16S ribosomal RNA". It matches the Rfam family "Bacterial small subunit ribosomal RNA", at positions 28 to 507 of the family's 1533-position model. The record is from RNAcentral.
GACGAACGCUGGCGGCGUGCUUAACACAUGCAAGUCGAACGGAAAGGCCCUGCUUGCAGGGUACUCGAGUGGCGAACGGGUGAGUAACACGUGGGUGAUCUUCCCUGCACUUCGGGAUAAGCCUGGGAAACUGGGUCUAAUACCGGAUAGGAGCCAUUUUUAGUGUGAUGGUUGGAAAGUUUUUUCGGUGUAGGAUGAGCUCGCGGCCUAUCAGCUUGUUGGUGGGGUAAUGGCCUACCAAGGCGGCGACGGGUAGCCGGCCUGAGAGGGUGGACGGCCACAUUGGGACUGAGAUACGGCCCAGACUCCUACGGGAGGCAGCAGUGGGGAAUAUUGCACAAUGGGCGCAAGCCUGAUGCAGCGACGCCGCGUGGGGGAUGACGGACUUCGGGUUGUAAACUCCUUUCGCUAGGGACGAAGCUUUUUGUGACGGUACCUAGAUAAGAAGCACCGGCUAACUACGUG